GGGCGUAAAGCGCGCGCAGGCGGUUUCUUAAGUCUGAUGUGAAAUCUUGCGGCUCAACCGCAAGCGGCCAUUGGAAACUGGGAGACUUGAGUGCAGAAGAGGAGAGUGGAAUUCCACGUGUAGCGGUGAAAUGCGUAGAGAUGUGGAGGAACACCAGUGGCGAAGGCGACUCUCUGGUCUGUAACUGACGCUGAGGCGCGAAAGCGUGGGGAGCGAACAGGAUUAGAUACCCUGGUAGUCCACGCCGUAAACGAUGAGUGCUAAGUGUUAGAGGGUUUCCGCCCUUUAGUGCUGCAGCUAACGCAUUAAGCACUCCGCCUGGGGAGUACGGCCGCAAGGCUGAAACUCAAAGGAAUUGACGGGGGCCCGCACAAGCGGUGGAGCAUGUGGUUUAAUUCGAAGCAACGCGAAGAACCUUACCAGGUCUUGACAUCCUCUUGACCUCCCUAGAGAUAGGGAUUUCCCUUCGGGGACAGGAGUGACAGGUGGUGCAUGGUUGUCGUCAGCUCGUGUCGUGAGAUGUUGGGUUAAGUCCCGCAACGAGCGCAACCCUUGACCUUAGUUGCCAGCAUUUAGUUGGGCACUCUAAGGUGACUGCCGGUGACAAACCGGAGGAAGGUGGGGAUGACGUCAAAUCAUCAUGCCCCUUAUGACCUGGGCUACACACGUGCUACAAUGGAUGGUACAAAGGGCUGCAAGACCGCGAGGUUUAGCCAAUCCCAUAAAACCAUUCUCAGUUCGGAUUGUAGGCUGCAACUCGCCUACAUGAAGCCGGAAUCGCUAGUAAUCGCGGAUCAGCA
Molecule: ribosomal RNA, 800 nt
Filed under: bacterium 3342F-16S530
Lineage: Bacteria
Description: bacterial SSU rRNA
Rfam family: Bacterial small subunit ribosomal RNA
Source: RNAcentral